This 253-nucleotide ribosomal RNA is filed under the name uncultured bacterium. Its description in RNAcentral is "partial 16S ribosomal RNA". It matches the Rfam family "Bacterial small subunit ribosomal RNA", at positions 524 to 776 of the family's 1533-position model. The record is from RNAcentral.
UACGUAGGGGGCUAGCGUUGUCCGGAAUCAUUGGGCGUAAAGCGCGUGUAGGCGGUCCGGUAAGUCCGCUGUGAAAGUCGGGGGCUCAACCCUCGGAUGCCGGUGGAUACUGUCGGGCUUGAGUACGGAAGAGGCGAGUGGAAUUCCUGGUGUAGCGGUGAAAUGCGCAGAUAUCAGGAGGAACACCAAUUGCGAAGACAGCUCGCUGGGACGUUACUGACGCUGAGGCGCGAAAGCGUGGGGAGCGAACAGG